CAGAGGGAGACCUGUUAAUGUUUUCCUGCGAUUGUGGACUUGCCCCUUCCUCCUCUAAGUUCCCACUGUGUCUCACCUGUCACCCAUGGCACCUGCUGCAGCGGAUGUUAUGGCUGAAGCUCACCCCUGGACGCCCGGUCACAUUCUGAGCACACCCCUCCUGGCCGUGUGGAUGUGGGCAGACCACGUGGCUUCCGAACUCAGCGUCCUCACCUGCAGAACUGUCAUCGUAGAACGGCUUCCCUUUAGGGUCAUCUUGGAUGUUAAAUGCAGAAUCCGCCCAAGGCCCUCAGGACACGCGUGUCGCAGUGAGCACGCCACAGCUGGGAGACGGGUGCAGUUGGUACCCGUGUGCAGCUCACCGCAGAAUUCUGGGCAGCCAAGGGCAGGAAGGCUUGGCAACGUCAAGCAAUGGGCUUUGCCCAAAACCACUUAAAGAGCUCAGGCACACUGAGGCCAGCCUUUGUGAUGCUUCUUGGACUUUAAGUCUGUCAUUCGAAUAUCCGUUCAUCCCAAUGUAGGAUUCAUCCAAUUUGGGCAGGGCCUCUUCCCUCCAGCUCUGCCCUGAGCAUCCUUGGAAUGAAGUUCUUGGGGGUGGGUCGACGUGCUGAGCUCCAGCUGCUGAUGUCCCAGCUCUGCCUCAGUUGUCCCGGGUGGAUGAACACGGAAGCUGAUACAUCUUGUCGGGAAGAGGAAGCCUUCCGUGAGCGGACGCGGAGUUUGGGUCGACGUCCCUCGGAUCCACGCGGGGCCCUCCACAGCCCCCUGCUCUGCGGAAGCACCAGCAUCCUCUUUGUCUGACACCACUUUUUCGGAGUCAUGGAAAUAUUUAUAGGGAUUGCACAGGAGUGUUGCUUAGAAUGUGACUUGUCCUAAUUAUCCGGACUGUGGAAUCUGAGUAGGGAUGUGAGGAUGUUCAUGUCCAGAUGGUGACUCCCAAGCCCAGGAAAACACAAUACUGAUGGCAUUGACCGCAGAAAAGUAACUGAGAACUAUCCUUCUUAGACACCAUUAAGAAAAAAAAAAAUAAGAAAACUUAAGAAAUUAAUUGCGUCAAUGCUUGGUAUUAGAUAUGUUGGUUUUGGUUUGUUUUUAAAGAGCUUUGGAGUCGAACUGCAUCCUAAUUUUCCAUAUUAGCUUAUCCCCCGACAUGCAGAGGGAGUGCAAGAUCACUGGCGAUAGAUUCUGCUGGUACUGGCUAACGGGGUCUCCACGUUUGCACAGCCCCUCCCUAAGCACUCUCACCUGCCUGCUCCAAGGCACAGAUUUCAGCCUGUUCCUCGAGGCUGUUUGUGGCGGCACAGAGCAGGUGCUGAACCAGUGUGUGGCGCAGGGCUGCCUGUCGUCCCAGUUCUUUUGCUCACCUGCGCCAAUUUCUCUGUUUGGUGCAAUUUCCCUCCCAAAGGUAUUUUGAACAUUUUCAAGUUGUUGUUGUUUUUUUGUUGUUAUCAAUGUACAUUACAUGCAUGGAUUAAGUGAUUCUGUUUGAACAACAUAUUAUAAAUUUUACUCUCUCAUAGAAGAAUACUUUGAAA
This is a non-coding RNA of Microcebus murinus (gray mouse lemur), 1535 nucleotides long. NCBI's taxonomy places the organism in Eukaryota, Metazoa, Chordata, Mammalia, Primates, Cheirogaleidae. The record is from RefSeq and is a predicted model, not a curated record.